Molecule: non-coding RNA, 588 nt
Organism: Microcebus murinus (gray mouse lemur)
Lineage: Eukaryota; Metazoa; Chordata; Mammalia; Primates; Cheirogaleidae
Source: RefSeq, a predicted model, not a curated record
GCCUGGCGUUUAAUGGUUACAUCUUUCAGAAAGAGCAUGAAGAGAAAGACCUUUGUAUUCUGUCAUCUCCUUAUCCGGAUGUGGUAGCACAGGACAUGCCCUACACUGUAAACACUCUAUAACGCUGUUAAUGCCACUCUCCCCUGCUCCUAACCACACAAACCGUCGUUGUCUUUUGUAUUUUGACAAUGAGAUUUCUUUGUGUCCAUUCUCUACCCACUUCAUCCGCCCACCCCUAACCCCUAAGCACACCACAUCAGAGCCUUUUCCAGUGAGUUGAGUGAAAGACCGUUAGGAAAUUUCAGUUGCAGAUGUCAGAAACUAAACUCGCUGAACUAAACUCAAAUAGCUUGGACUCAAAGAGGGAAUUUACUGGAAGGGUGUGUGGCUAUCUCACAGAACACUAGGAAGAAAAGAGGAGCUGCAGGAGCUCAGAUCAAUUCUCAUGGGACUUUCAUGGUCAUCUGCAGACAUGCACAGAGCAGUGAAGAGUCUGAGUCACCCAGAGCCCAUGUUCCCAGCUGAAGUCAAAGAAGAAAAUGUUCACCUUCUCGUUUCAGCUCUCAUACUGUAAACAUGUGACCUUUU